AUUGAACGCUGGCGGCAGGCUUAACACAUGCAAGUCGAGCGGAGAUGAGGUGCUUGCACCUUAUCUUAGCGGCGGACGGGUGAGUAAUGCUUAGGAAUCUGCCUAUUAGUGGGGGACCACAUUCCGAAAGGAAUGCUAAUACCGCAUACGUCCUACGGGAGAACUCAGGGGAUCUUCGGACCUUGCGCUAAUAGAUGAGCCUAGGUAGGAUUAGCUAGUUGGUGGGGUAAAGGCCUACCAAGGCGACGAUCUGUGGCGGGUCUGAGAGGAUGAUCCGCCACACUGGGACUGAGACACGGCCCAGACUCCUACGGGAGGCAGCAGUGGGGAAUAUUGGACAAUGGGGGGAACCCUGAUCCAGCCAUGCCGCGUGUGUGAAGAAGGCCUUAUGGUUGUAAAGCACUUUAAGCGAGGAGGAGGCUACUGAGACUAAUACUCUUGGAUAGUGGACGUUACUCGCAGAAUAAGCACCGGCUAACUCUGUGGCAGCCGCCGCCGUAA
RNAcentral lists this ribosomal RNA (501 nucleotides) under uncultured bacterium. RNAcentral describes it as "partial 16S ribosomal RNA". It matches the Rfam family "Bacterial small subunit ribosomal RNA", at positions 30 to 523 of the family's 1533-position model. The record is from RNAcentral.